This 401-nucleotide ribosomal RNA is filed under the name uncultured bacterium. Its description in RNAcentral is "partial 16S ribosomal RNA". It matches the Rfam family "Bacterial small subunit ribosomal RNA", at positions 355 to 774 of the family's 1533-position model. The record is from RNAcentral. RNAcentral also lists the same sequence under 1 other name.
UGGGGAAUAUUGCACAAUGGAGGAAACUCUGAUGCAGCGACGCCGCGUGAACGAUGAAGGCCUUCGGGUCGUAAAGUUCUGUCCUAGGGGACGAUAAUGACGGUACCCUAGGAGGAAGCCCCGGCUAACUACGUGCCAGCAGCCGCGGUAAUACGUAGGGGGCGAGCGUUGUCCGGAUUUAUUGGGCGUAAAGGGUUCGCAGGCGGUCUCUUAAGUUAGAUGUGAAAGAUCACGGCUCAACCGUGGUAAGCAUUUAAAACUGGGAGACUUGAGUUAAGGAGAGGAAAGUGGAAUUCCUAGUGUAGCGGUGAAAUGCGUAGAUAUUAGGAGGAAUACCAGUGGCGAAGGCGACUUUCUGGACUUAUACUGACGCUGAGGAACGAAAGCGUGGGGAGCAAACA